Molecule: transfer RNA, 64 nt
Filed under: Calappa bilineata
Lineage: Eukaryota; Metazoa; Arthropoda; Malacostraca; Decapoda; Calappidae
Description: tRNA-Tyr
Rfam family: tRNA
About the family: Transfer RNA (tRNA) molecules are approximately 80 nucleotides in length.
Source: RNAcentral
GACAAAAUGGCUGAGAUUUAGGCAUUAGAUUGUAAAUUUAAUUACGGGAGAAUCCCUUUUGUUA